RNAcentral lists this long non-coding RNA (455 nucleotides) under Junco hyemalis (dark-eyed junco). Its description in RNAcentral is "lncRNA (ENSJHYG00000005686.1)". The record is from RNAcentral. Lineage: Eukaryota; Metazoa; Chordata; Aves; Passeriformes; Passerellidae.
CACGCAGCCACCACGGGGCGGGGCGGCUCUGCCAGCGUCGCGCUGGGCCGGGCGGGCUGGGCCGCGCCGCAGCGCCGGCGGCUGAUUCGGAGGCGGCGGCGGGGGAUGGACGAGGGUACCUGCGGCGGCCAUCGGCGACGGGCGGCCCAGAUUGCAGCCUCUGUUUAAGUAUUGGGAAGGCUCAGGAUCAUCUUCAACAAGACGGACGUUGAAUGUUUAGCAUCGCCUCUUUGGAUUUUUGCAUGUGAAUUGGAACCGCUUUAUUUCUAGGUAAGACAUAACUGUGGGUUUGUGUUAAGUGCCCUCUUCCUUUUAUAUGUCAGUUGUGAGAAAGCUGAAGAGUGCGGUAUGCCGGACUUUGCUUUAUGCACUGUUUAUGUGUUUGUUGAAUGAGUCCAAUGUAACUUGAGAUUUUAAGUGCUCAUUUGUCCGAAAUGUCUAUGUUCCCUGAGAGA